GCUCCAAUAGCGUAUAUUAAAGUUGUUGCAGUUAAAAAGCUCGUAGUUGAACUUCACACCUGGCUGGGCGGUCUGCCUAACGGUAUGUACUGUCCGGCUGGGUCUUACCUCUUGGUGAGCCGGCAUGCCCUUCACUGGGUGUGUCGGGGAACCAGGACUUUUACCUUGAGAAAAUUAGAGUGUUCAAAGCAGGCUUAUGCCCGAAUACAUUAGCAUGGAAUAAUAAAAUAGGACGUGCGGUUCUAUUUUGUUGGUUUCUAGAGUCGCCGUAAUGAUUAAUAGGGAUAGUUGGGGGCAUUAGUAUUCCGUUGCUAGAGGUGAAAUUCUUGGAUUUACGGAAGACUAACUAUUGCGAAAGCAUUUGCCAAGGAUGUUUUCAUUAAUCAAGAACGAAGGUUAGGGGAUCGAAAACGAUCAGAUACCGUUGUAGUCUUAACAGUAAACUAUGCCGACUAGGGAUCGGGCGAACUCAAUUUGAUGUGUCGCUCGGCACCUUACGAGAAAUCAAAGUCUUAGGGUUCUGGGGG
Molecule: ribosomal RNA, 527 nt
Filed under: uncultured eukaryote
Lineage: Eukaryota
Description: SSU rRNA
Rfam family: Eukaryotic small subunit ribosomal RNA
Source: RNAcentral